This is a non-coding RNA of Vicia faba (fava bean), 225 nucleotides long. Lineage: Eukaryota; Viridiplantae; Streptophyta; Magnoliopsida; Fabales; Fabaceae. The record is from the annotation of a GenBank genome assembly.
AUGGUUGAGAAGGAGAGGUGUGUUGGGCUGAGGAGGGUGUUGAGGAGGCUUAAGGUGUUUGGACCAGACACGGUGGAGUUGUCCAUGGUUGCCAUGGAUAUGCCCAUGAUCGUUGUUGAUAGGGAGAUGGAAAACAUUAUUGAUGUUGCGGCUGAGAGCAACCUCUACCUCGACCAUUGUGUUUUCCCCUACCACGACUGCUAUAACCAUUGUUCCGGCCACUAA